This 465-nucleotide ribosomal RNA is filed under the name uncultured bacterium. RNAcentral's name for it is "bacterial SSU rRNA". It matches the Rfam family "Bacterial small subunit ribosomal RNA", at positions 338 to 795 of the family's 1533-position model. The record is from RNAcentral.
CCUACGGGGCGCAGCAGUGGGGAAUAUUGCACAAUGGGCGCAAGCCUGAUGCAGCCAUGCCGCGUGUGAGAAGAAGGCCUUCGGGUUGUAAAGCACUUUCAGCGGGGAGGAAGGCGGUGAGGUUAAUAACCUCAUCGAUUGACGUUACCCGCAGAAGAAGCACCGGCUGACUCCGUACCAGCAGCCGCGGUAAUACGGAGGGUGCAAGCGUUAAUCGGAAUUACUGGGCGUAAAGCGCACGCAGGCGGUCUGUCAAGUCGGACGUGAAAUCCCCGGGCUCAACCUGGGAACUGCAUCCGAAACUGGCAGGCUAGAGUCUUGUAGAGGGGGGUAGAAUUCCAGGUGUAGCGGUCAAAUGCGUAGAGCUCUGGAGGAAUACCGGUGGCGACGGCGGCCCCCUGGACAAAGACUGACGCUCAGGUGCGAACGCGUGGGCAGCAACCAGGAUUAGAUACCCGGGUAGUC